Molecule: ribosomal RNA, 460 nt
Filed under: uncultured bacterium
Lineage: Bacteria
Description: partial 16S ribosomal RNA
Rfam family: Bacterial small subunit ribosomal RNA
Source: RNAcentral
CCUACGGGAGGUAGCAGUGAGGAAUAUUGGUCAAUGGACGAGAGUCUGAACCAGCCAAGUAGCGUGAAGGAUGACUGCCCUAUGGGUUGUAAACUUCUUUUAUAUGGGAAUAAAAUGUUCCACGUGUGGGAUUUUGUAUGUACCAUAUGAAUAAGGAUCGGCUAACUCCGUGCCAGCAGCCGCGGUAAUACGGAGGAUCCGAGCGUUAUCCGGAUUUAUUGGGUUUAAAGGGAGCGUAGGUGGAUUGUUAAGUCAGUUGUGAAAGUUGUCGGCUCAACCGUAAAAUUGCAGUUGAAACUGGCAGUCUUGAGUACAGUAGAGGUGGGCGGAAUUCGUGGUGUAGCGGUGAAAUGCGUAGAUAUCACGAAGAACUCCGAUUGCGAAGGCAGUUCACUGGACUGCAACUGACACUGAGGCUCGAAAGUGUGGGUAUCAAACAGGAUUAGAUACCCGUGUAGUC